RNAcentral lists this ribosomal RNA (510 nucleotides) under uncultured bacterium. Its description in RNAcentral is "bacterial SSU rRNA". It matches the Rfam family "Bacterial small subunit ribosomal RNA", at positions 11 to 509 of the family's 1533-position model. The record is from RNAcentral.
GUUUGAUCCUGGCGUCAGGGAUGAACGCUAGCUACAGGCUUAACACAUGCAAGUCGAGGGGCAGCAUGAUCUUAGCUUGCUAAGAUUGAUGGCGACCGGCGCACGGGUGAGUAACGCGUAUCCAACCUUCCCUAUAGUAGGGGAUAGCCCGUAGAAAUGCGGAUUAAUACCCUAUGUUGUAUUUUGAGGACAUCUGACGAAUACCAAAGGUUUACCGCUAUAGGAUGGGGAUGCGUCUGAUUAGGUUGUUGGCGGGUAACGGCCCACCAAGCCUACGAUCAGUAGGGGUUCUGAGAGGAAGGUCCCCCACAUUGGAACUGAGACACGGUCCAAACUCCUACGGGAGGCAGCAGUGAGGAAUAUUGGUCAAUGGGCGAGAGCCUGAACCAGCCAAGUAGCGUGCAGGAUGACGGCCCUAUGGGUUGUAAACUGCUUUUAUGCGGGGAUAAAGUGAGGGACGUGUCCCUUAUUGUAGGUACCGCAUGAAUAAGGACCGGCUAAUUCCGUGCC